This 372-nucleotide ribosomal RNA is filed under the name uncultured organism. RNAcentral's name for it is "bacterial SSU rRNA". It matches the Rfam family "Bacterial small subunit ribosomal RNA", at positions 526 to 897 of the family's 1533-position model. The record is from RNAcentral.
CGUAGGGUGCAGGCGUUAAUCGGAAUUACUGGGCGUAAAGCGUGCGCAGGCGGUCUGCUAAGAGAGAUGUGAAAUCCCCGGGCUUAACCUGGGAACUGCGUUUCGUAACUGGCAGGCUUGAGUGUGGCAGAGGGGGUGGAAUUCCACGUGUAGCAGUGAAAUGCGUAGAGAUGUGGAGGAACACCGAUGGCGAAGGCAGCCCCCUGGGCUAACACUGACGCUCAUGCACGAAAGCGUGGGGAGCAAACAGGAUUAGAUACCCUGGUAGUCCACGCCCUAAACUAUGUCAACUGGUUGUCGGGGAAGCAAUUCCUUGGUAACGAAGCUAACGCGUGGAAGUUGACCGCCUGGGGAGUACGGCCGCAAGGUUAA